AAAAAAAAAAAAAUAAAAAAAAACAUAUUUUUUCCUUCUCCACUUCCUUAUCCACUGUUUCUUUUAUACUAACACUAAUUUCCUCCAAUAUAGCAACCUAACAUUUGCCCCUUCUUAUUAUUUUCUUCUAUCCUUAAAAAUUUUUCUCACUUACCUAACCUCUAAAAUGAACCCAAAAAGAGAAGACCAAGAACGUUCAUUGUGAGCCCCAAAACAAAAUGAUUGGGGUCAGUAAGUCCAUUCAUGUGGUAACCUCACAUCGCCAUUCAUUUCUGGUUGUGGCCUGAGACUCCGCUUCUGAUGGGAGACAAGAUGAUUGCUGCUAUUAAGCCUUAAUGCAACAUCACUGUCUGAGGUGAAAGUUCCAUUAAAACGAGGUUGAAGCUGGGGUUGAGCACCCAUGUCAUCCAAGUUUAGGUUCAGGGCCUGCACUACUCUUGCUGGUAGCAGAACUGUAGAACAAGCUGAAAAGAAAUCCAUAAAACCAAAAUCAAUAUCAACAUUCCAAUGAAUCAGAACCAGAACAGUAGAAGUAAAAACAAUUUCCAUAUUGACUUGUAUUAAGGAAUCCGAUGGCCUCCUAUUAUGACCCAGAUCCAUUAACAGAUCAGAUCAAAUAAUGGAAACGAAAAUUCCAUUCCCUGACUUCUUGCGAGUUUCAGCAGUGGUACUAGCUCGGCGAGGUAAGAACACCCCAGUGCCAGCACAUUCCCUUUUGCCCCCAGGAUUGCCGAGGAACACAGCCCGCAUGCCAGACCCGCCUUGGUGGUGUUGCAGAGGAGGCCAAGCAGACGGAGGCAAACCCAAAGGUCUACCAGGAUUUCUGGCUCCGUUGUGGACCACUGACUGGGUUUGUUGCUUUUGGAAAAAUCCAGCACCCUUAGGCUGCCCUCCCCAAAGCCCAGAGCUCUGUUGUUUCAUCAGUUGCUGCUGUCUCAGCUGCUGAAAUUGAGCUGCUUGCAAUUUCUGGUAAGUAAGAGACGGCAUCGGGUAGAGACCCGCAUCAGGUUUUGAGUUUUUCACGGGUACAGAGACAGGAGAGGGUUUUCGUGGUGGACCCAAGAUUCCACUGUUGUGGCCGUUAAGGCCGUACCCUUCUUGAUUAAUUCUCAUCCUCGCUACUUCGCCAGCAGCCGCAUACAGCAGAUCCCAUGUGGCCGGCGUUGAGGAGCCCCUGGAGAAAUCAUUUGGACGGCCACGGCAUGACGCUUGCCUACACCCACAACCACUUCCAAGCCCACAUAGCGUUGAUUGUGGUGAACCUGAUACCACCCAGGCCUUGGUUUUUUCAUUCCCAAAAGUCACAUCGUUUCCCCUAAAAUCGUCUUCAAGCGUGGAGCGAGCCAUUUGGCAAGUUAAGCCAGCGAUGUAGUCUUCCUCGUCACUCUCUUCGGUAGAACCGACCACCGACUCAACCGGAGAACUGAGAUCCGAAGACACCCCGAAGGACCCAACCCCAUAAGGAAAAUCAAGUGGGAAGAAAGGCUUGGAAUAGUCAGUUUCAGAGGAAAACACAUCUUUAGCGUUCUUGAGGCUACAUUUGUUGGUGGUAGUAAUCUUCUUAUCCAUGAAAAUAUCGUCGUCAGUGAGGAACUGAGGAGGCAACCAGAACUCGCCGUCGUCUAAACUAUCUGCCAUAUUUAAACUCUAGCAAUGACAGAGAGAGGGCAACAAAAGGAUAGACGAGGGAGAGGAUGGAGUAAAUGAGAGUUUGCUGCUCGGCUAAGAUAUAAUGAUAGCAACCCCAGUUGGAUUUUUGCUGGAUUUGCAGCUUUAGGGUCCCAGAGAACGCUAUGAAAGAAAAAAGAGAGAGAUAUUUAUAAAGAGAAAGCAGUGCUUAUUAACCAGAAAAGCCUCAAGCCUCAGGGGCCCUUCCCUUUCUAUAGAGAGCAAAAGCACGGAAUUAAGCGAAAGAAGGGAGAAGAGAGUGCGAUUAGAGCCUGCGCCAUGUAUAUUUGUAGUAGCCUAGUAGGGCAGAAAGCCAGAAAAGCAAGGAGAGGUUAUGCUCUGGAGAGCGGACCCUUGCACCCAAAAAGACAAC
Molecule: unclassified non-coding RNA, 2041 nt
Filed under: Hevea brasiliensis (rubber tree)
Lineage: Eukaryota; Viridiplantae; Streptophyta; Magnoliopsida; Malpighiales; Euphorbiaceae
Source: RNAcentral